UCUAAUUCUACCCCUUUCUUUGUGUGUUUAUUAAUGCUUUCCUGCACUAUUUAAUUACCUCCAAGCAUGCUCAGUCUCUUAUGUUAUGUUAAUCCCUUUCCCUCUACUCCCUUUGUAUGUGGGUAUUGUCAUGGGUCAUAGCAACACUAUGAAUUGCUGUCUGUGAUCAAGAACUAGACUCUUCUAGGUCUUUACUCGAUUGCUUUCCCAUUCUCUUUCCCCUCAAUGUGCUGAGCUCUAAUUUGAGUCUGUUGGUGUCCUGAUCACCAUUCAAACAUGAGUUUGACUCAAUAAGAGUAUGCACUUAUUUGUUAGAAUCUGAGCAAGAGAUUAGGGGUGUGGCAGUCUAUGCCAUGGCUGGGUAUGACCACCUCCUCCUAUAGGAUUUAAUACUUUGAAUCGCCUAGAUUUCAUUCCUAUAGGAAUUUUACUACUUUGAAUCAUUUAGAUAUCAUGUCUAUAGGCUUUUAACGUUUGAAUCACCUAGAGAUCAUAUCCAUAGGCUUGCAUUUUUCUUCAUUCAAGCAUAUAUAGAAAUCAUGACUAUAGAAUCGCAAUAACAAUAGAAAAACAAUAGGGUAACACAACUAUAUCCUGCUUGAAACGUUUUAAAAUACCAUAAAAAAUCGGAAUAGAUCCUUCCUAUAUGAUCUCAAAACUCGCUUAAUUUGUAUAAUCGGUUAUAUGGAAAUUAUUUCAAUGUUUCCACAUAAUUCAUCCAAACCUGUCUGCAUUUCUAAGAACUUGUUUUUCUGUUGCUAAAAUGAUUUUCCAACUCUCUGUCUGAACUUUUAUUCACGAGAUUACUUUCAAACAACUUUCAAACUCUCACUUUUUUAUAAACACAUUACUUUUGAAAAAUUUCUUUAAACAGUUCCAGCGAUUUUCCAAACCCUUUUUGAACUUCUGCAGAUUUUUGCUGCUUUGAAUACUUGUCUGUGUUAGUACUUGAUUAAUAAUCCGGUAAAAUACUCCAGAUCCUAACAAUUAGAUCCAAGUUUCCCAAUGUAUACAUUUUAUCUAAUUCCAUAUGUUAAACUGAUCCGUCCACCGAUUAAUUAUAAUUUAAGACCAAACCAGUAUAUGUAAGACAUGCUAAACUAUAUGUUUUCUAUUUAAAGGGGUUUCUUUGAACCUUGGUUUGUCUUCUUGUUCUUUCCCCUACUUGGUAUCUGUUUUGACUGACGAAUUAGAAUUUUGUCCUUUGAACUCCAUGCAAAGCGCACAUCCCUUUCUUCCCCUUUUAGGAUUAAAAGUCCUAAUACUCCAGGACGGAUAAGUUGGGGUGGCUACUAGCAUGCAAUAACUAAAAUGAGACUAAUCGCAUUUAAAUACCUUAACGGAGUGGGAAGGGUAGAAUAUGGAUAUGAUGACUGGUGCGCUAAUAUCUCGUGUGAGGACGAUUGCUUGGUAUUGCACCAAAGUGAUCCAUAUUAUGUUUAACCCUAGGACUCCUUUCUUCUUCUUUAUUAAUGCUUUAUCUUAGAUUAAUGUUUUAACCAAAAUUCCUCU
RNAcentral lists this long non-coding RNA (1512 nucleotides) under Nicotiana benthamiana. RNAcentral describes it as "long non-coding RNA (NBEN_LNC010328)". The record is from RNAcentral. Lineage: Eukaryota; Viridiplantae; Streptophyta; Magnoliopsida; Solanales; Solanaceae.